RNAcentral lists this ribosomal RNA (422 nucleotides) under uncultured bacterium. Its description in RNAcentral is "partial 16S ribosomal RNA". It matches the Rfam family "Bacterial small subunit ribosomal RNA", at positions 360 to 774 of the family's 1533-position model. The record is from RNAcentral.
AAUCUUCCACAAUGGGCGAAAGCCUGAUGGAGCAACGCCGCGUGAGUUAAGAAGGAUUUCUGUUCGUAAAACUCUGUUGUAAGGGAAGAACAAGUACAGUAGUAACUGGCUGUACCUUGACGGUACCUUAUUAGAAAGCCACGGCAAACUACGUCCCAGCAGCCGCGGUAAUACGUAGGUGGCAAGCGUUGUUCGGAAUUAUUGGGGGUAAAGCGCGCGAAGGUGGUUUCUUAAGUCUGAUGUGGAAGCCCACGGCUCAACCGUGGAGGGUCAUUGGAAACUGGGAGACUUGAGUGCAGAAGAGGAUAGUGGAAUUCCAAGUGUAGCGGUGAAAUGCGUAGAGAUUUGGAGGAACACCAGUGGCGAAGGCGACUAUCUGGUCUGUAACUGACACUGAGGCGCGAAAGCGUGGGGAGCAAACA